AAUUAGAAAGUAAACCAUUACAUUUAGUUUCGACCUAAAAAUAUGACCCCCCAAGAGGGUCUCUAAUUU
Molecule: transfer RNA, 69 nt
Filed under: Willemoesia forceps
Lineage: Eukaryota; Metazoa; Arthropoda; Malacostraca; Decapoda; Polychelidae
Description: tRNA-Arg
Source: RNAcentral